UAGAAUGAAUGGUUUGACGAACGUUAAGCUGUCUCUAUCUUAUUUUUUAAAAUUUAAUCUUCAAAGUGAUAAAGCUUAAAUUUUUUAAAGGGACGAGAACACCCUAUUGAGCUUAUAAUUUUAGGGUUGCUUAACAUUAGUUAUUUGGGGAGCAAUUUAUAAAUUUUUUUUGGGGGGAUUAAGGAAUAAAUACGAAAAUAAUAUAGUAACUUCCUUAGAUUGAAAUAUUGUUAAAUAAAGUAACCAAUGUUAUUAUUGCUUUUAUAAUAGUUACCAUAGGGAUAACAGCGUAAUCUGUUUAGAGAGUUCUUAUUGAAAAAUGGGAUUGCGACCUCCAUGUUGGAUUAAAGUAACCUCAGGGUGCAGAAGCUU
Molecule: ribosomal RNA, 372 nt
Filed under: Cranchiidae environmental sample cf. Leachia sp.
Lineage: Eukaryota; Metazoa; Mollusca; Cephalopoda; Oegopsida; Cranchiidae
Description: partial 16S ribosomal RNA
Source: RNAcentral